UUUCAACAAAUCACUUACAAUUUAUCAAAAACAUAAAAUACAAAAUAAAAGUUAUCUAUUUUCUGUGUAAGUGAGAAUAAAGGGUUAGGCGGGUGACUUGGCAGGUCUUGGCACUCUUACAUAAUUUUGAAACGCCUAGGAUUAAUCGAGGUUGUCUUGGCGGGGAUUUUAGAACAGUGCUUACCCACCACAUUGUUGCUGCACAUAAACAAUCUAACAACUGAGUAAAACAGAAAGUGAAUUAACAUUGUAAGGUUGGUUAAACAUGCAACAUGCAUCCAACUUUCCUAACUAAAUUCAAACGCAAAUGCCUAUGAAUUUCAUCAGCAUAGAAUACUGAAACUUAUGAGCAUAGUCACUUGGAAAUUCACUUGCAGGUUGCGAUUUAAUUUCUCAAGAAUGUAACCAUUCUUGUCGACCAAGUUUUCAGUAAUCUACCUUAUAAUUUUGCCUACUUCACCGGUUUCUUGCCAACAAGUCUCUGCUCAUGCAAGUCCCUAAAAGCAAUUUGAGUGAGCAAAAACAAUCUAGGAGGGCAGAUACAACCUGAGAUUCUUUCACUCGGAUCCUUGUCCUUCCUCUCCCUCAGCUACAGCCUAUUGACAAACAUCACAGGGGCGAUGAAGAUACUAAUGCGGUGCAAAAGUCUCAAGGUACCCCUCCUUUUGACAAGUUUUUAUCUAGGAGAGAAAAUUCCAAGUGAAGAAGCAAUGGCUAAUUUUAACGGGUUCCAAAACCUUCAAAUGCUGGAUUUGAGUAGGUGUCAGCUCAGGAAGCUAGGGGUCUUGAUUUUGAGUUUUAACAGAAUCACCCGGUCGAUUCCUAGUUGGUUGGGGGCUCUUCCGAGGCUCUUUGUUUUAGCAUUAGGAGGCAAUCAAAUUUUGGGUGAUUUCCAAAGAACUCUGUACACUUCCUAUGUUGUUAUCCGGAAAAUAUCCUGAGUUACAGCUAAAUUUUUCUCAAUUUGCUUCUUUUUUUAUAUGAUGCUCAAUUACUUUUUUCCCCUUCUUCCACUUGAUUAAUCAAACACAUAGGGUGAAGACUAACAAGCAACCACUCUUCAAUGUUCCAGUUAAAGCUCGCUGCCCAGAAGACAAAGAAAUAUUACCGUGCACGGAUUGAGCCAGAAAUUCUCGAGUGCAAAAUAUCUACUUAAGAGUAGGAUGUGCAUUCCCUAACCUCUUUUUUAUUUAUUUUCUCCCUUUGUUUAGACCAAAAUUAUGACCAAACUAUCAAUCAUCAGCUAAAAUACGAAGUUUGAUAACAUAAUAUAUCAGACGAUUUUACACGUGACUAAAGCCUAAGAGUAUACACCAUAUAUGUUUAACCACAAAAAGCUAUGUCACAUAACAAAUCAAACCAUCCGCGAAAUUCCCCUGGAUUUUCAUAAACUUGCGCAAUCAGUUUGGUUAAAAAGAUAAUUGAAACUAAGAAAAGGGUCCUGAUUGAAUUUGAUACUAAACAUAAAUAAAAAUAAAAAAAACCUUGUGUAAGUUGGGUUUUCACUUACUUCUUCUAGUUUGCACGGGUUGACGGUCGGAAGUUGUUGAACGAAUCCCAACACGAACAGAAGCCGAAAAUUGUAGAGCUCCAGCUUUCGCAAGAGGAGGGCGGUUCAAGAAAUGAGUUACAGUGCACCUACUCCUGCAAAUUGGCCAUUGUUGGAAACAUGAAAACAAUCUGGAAAUCUGGAAAAAAAAAAAAGAGGCAAAAGAACACGGUUCAGGAAUUUCAUCAAACAGUUUACGUGCAAUCUCUUUUCAGAAAGUUUAAGAUUGCAAUUGUCUUGUAAGCGUAAGAUAGCACAUUAAGGAAGAAACAUGUAAAUGCAGCUUCAUCGUCUACAAAACACGCAUGCAACGUAACAGUUUUUUCUGUUGAAAUUUUUGGCAAACAAAUGUCUGGGACUACACUUCGAGGUUAUGUCGAAAGAGCUUUUCUUCGGGAAGGUUUAUUUUUUUUGAAAGAGAUCAUCUCCGGACUUUUCAAAUUUCAUCCAACGAUCCAUCUGUUUUGAUCUUUUAAAAUCUAUAAUAAAUUUUGGCCGUUGAAUAAAAUUUGAAAGGUUCGGAUUAUUUGAUCCGGUGACCUUAGUGAAAGAAAUCCAAAAAGGAUCUCUUUCCUAGUUUUUUAAUGAGGUCUAAUGCAAUAGGUCUAGCUCACAAUGAGCUAGAGAGACUUUGGCUCCGUUUGUGUUCACCUUUUUAGCUAGGAUUGAAUUAGCUUCAAAGGUUAAACUGAAUUUAGCUUGACUUAGAUUAAGAAGUAUUGGAAUAUGAAGCCUUU
This 2286-nucleotide long non-coding RNA is filed under the name Malus domestica (apple). RNAcentral's name for it is "long non-coding RNA (MDOM_LNC021279)". Lineage: Eukaryota; Viridiplantae; Streptophyta; Magnoliopsida; Rosales; Rosaceae. The record is from RNAcentral.